This 495-nucleotide ribosomal RNA is filed under the name uncultured bacterium. RNAcentral's name for it is "partial 16S ribosomal RNA". It matches the Rfam family "Bacterial small subunit ribosomal RNA", at positions 30 to 507 of the family's 1533-position model. The record is from RNAcentral.
UGAACGCUGGCGGCGUGCCUAAUACAUGCACGUCGAGCGCACGGACGAGAAGCUUGCUUCUCUGAUGUUAGCGGCGGACGGGUGAGUAACACGUGGAUAACCUACCUAUAAGACUGGGAUAACUUCGGGAAACCGGAGCUAAUACCGGAUAAUAUUUUGAACCGCAUGGUUCAAAAGUGAAAGGCGGUCUUGCUGUCACUUAUAGAUGGAUCCGCGCUGCAUUAGCUAGUUGGUAAGGUAACGGCUUACCAAGGCAACGAUGCAUAGCCGACCUGAGAGGGUGAUCGGCCACACUGGAACUGAGACACGGUCCAGACUCCUACGGGAGGCAGCAGUAGGGAAUCUUCCGCAAUGGGCGAAAGCCUGACGGAGCAACGCCGCGUGAGUGAUGAAGGUCUUCGGAUCGUAAAACUCUGUUAUUAGGGAAGAACAUAUGUGUAAGUAACUGUGCACAUCUUGACGGUACCUAAUCAGAAAGCCACGGCUAACUACGUG